Long non-coding RNA from Bolinopsis microptera, 564 nucleotides. RefSeq lists it as uncharacterized. NCBI's taxonomy places the organism in Eukaryota, Metazoa, Ctenophora, Tentaculata, Lobata, Bolinopsidae. The transcript has 2 exons. The record is from RefSeq and is a predicted model, not a curated record.
UCGAGUUAGGUUAUAGUUUCUUUAGUCUCAGUACAUGAUGUAAAUAAAAAAUAACACAAUUAUCCUCAGCAAAGAAGGAGUAUGCCCGGGUAACCCUACCCCCCUUGCUACGUGGUCUGACGAGAGCCGCUAUCAUCUCCUUUAUAAGAAUGCCUCUCAAAACGGCAUUUGUCAACAACAAUCAAGCCGUUGAGAGGCAAGUGGCUCUUAUGUCAACCUGUGGUAAGAAGGUGGUAGGGGAGGAUAGGAAGUCUGGGCAACAAAUUGCUGUCGCAGAGCACAGACAGCAAACGAAAAAGCAGAAGAAGUGAAGACAAUAUUCCCGCAAGCAAGCACGUUCCUUCGUUCUGCUCUGAUCUCUACUCUGUUACUAACUGAUGAUGGACUUUGAUACGAUUCGUUGAUAUGAUUUUUUGACGUAUUGUAUACAGCUUGCACUUAACCAUAUGGUUCAGACAAAAGGACAAUUAAACUGGUGUUUUGUUUUUAACGGGUGAUACUCGUAAAAUAUUACCUUCGACGAGUUUAACUCGGCGCACGUCCUUGCAGGUUAUAAACCUACAA